This 1106-nucleotide long non-coding RNA is filed under the name Malus domestica (apple). Its description in RNAcentral is "long non-coding RNA (MDOM_LNC001133)". The record is from RNAcentral. Lineage: Eukaryota; Viridiplantae; Streptophyta; Magnoliopsida; Rosales; Rosaceae.
AUAGACUGAACAUUUAUAGAGUUGAGGGUUUUUAUUUUUUUGGCAAUGUGAACCUAUCACAAUGUUAUCUAAUGUUUUCUCGUUCUGCUAUGUACGGAGUUUAUAUUUGCAAUCAAAAGAGGGUCCUUUGUGCUUGUUUGGAAUUGUUUUGUCACGAAUUCUAUCAAAAGAACGAUAUGAUUUUUGAAAAAGCUUAGCUUGCUAACCCAUAAAGACUUUUUGAUCAUUUAUAUGCUUCUGUUGUAAGAAUGUUGUUUCUCUUGUCUUCCUACAAAUCUGUUGUAAGAAUGUUGUUUCUCUUGUCUUCCUACAAACAAGUUUUCUGCUUCUUAUGUGUGGUGUAGGGUGUAGGAUGAAACUUUGACAUGCCUUACAUGGUAUUCUAAGCGGUAGCUGGGUUUUUGUUUUUGAGGUAACUUAUUUACACAUUUGAACAGAUCUUUCCUCGAAGGGGAGAAUCGUUUAUCAAUUCCAAGUCAGCAGUAGCUAAAUAGUUGCUCAUAAUAUAGAGUAAAAUAUUUGUUUAGUGAUGCUCUGCUGCAUGAGACGUCAAAUAAAAUGUCUGCUGCAUGAAUCGUCUAUCAAUUAUUUAUUUUGGCAGAUAAUUAUGCGUGGUCUACUCUCUUUUGUAUUCAGUAGGGGUUCGGUUAGAGGUUAUUUGCCACUGUACAGAUUAAUUAUUUAAUUUUUCUUACCUAUGCAUUGUUGAUGUACAGAUAUUUUGCACAGAUUAUCAGGGAAGUGAUAUAUAAUUGCUAUAUUUAUGUUUAUAAGAUGAGUAUCUAGAAGGGUUUGCAAAAAUCGAAGUUUAAUUUUUGACCUUGGGUGAUGACCAGAGAUCAUUUCAUACACUCUCCCCUUUCAUAAGUACCCCAGGUAUAUUUUAGUUUUGAUAUCACAAUUCAAUGCACGAGACCAGACCAAAGAUUAUCCAUAUCAUUCUUUUUUGUUUUCGCUUUUCUGGUUUUGUUCUCUAGCUCAAAACUCGCUCGUUUUUGCUUUUGUUUUAAUAUUUCUGUUGUUUCCUGUUCCAAAGUUGUCAUUAUAUUAUGUAGUUCCAGUUUUAAUUCUUUAUGUUAUCGAUUUUAGUUUUGAAGAGUCCCCGC